This 1180-nucleotide long non-coding RNA is filed under the name Struthio camelus australis. Its description in RNAcentral is "lncRNA (ENSSCUG00000010546.1)". The record is from RNAcentral. Lineage: Eukaryota; Metazoa; Chordata; Aves; Struthioniformes; Struthionidae.
CACCUGCAGCUUAUACUUCAGCUUGCAAUGUUGGCCAUAGCUGAGCGUUACAUACUUGAAGGCGCUUCCAGUCUGGAUCCUCCAGAUGCUGGAUCCAGUUGUGCUCUGGAGAGUACCUUCUACCUAGCAGCCUGUUCUGUUUUGACGCAAUUAAGGCCCCCAUGGUUUCCCUUUCAUCGCAUGUAGGUGUGGAAGAACCUCCCUCAAAUGGCUUUUCUGUCCAUCUGAGCGCGUAACAUCGUGUGUGUGACUUUAGAGGGAUUUCAUCCUGUGAACGUCUUUCCUGUGAACAGUACCAUGGAAACUUUGAACAAGCUGUACAACAAGCCCUUGCAGACUGUUCUGGAGGUGGGGUGGUAGGCCUUCUGGAGGUAGACUAUCCUCUGAUUGAAAAAGAGCUGAGAGCUGUUGAGGGGGAGGUGAAAGAAGCAGAAGAAUGUACACGUGGCAGGUGGCCACCUGCUAGGACUAUAUCAAACAAGUGAAAGUGUCAAUGUGUAAUGCACAGCAAAGAGUUCAACAAUCAAAGGAUGAUGUUAGAAUGGUCCAUCAGAUUGUGAAUGGUUGGAGGGAACAUGCCUUCUAUUUCAGGAAAAAUAAAGAAGAAGCUUUAUUAAACUUGGAUGACAAAGAAAAAAGAAUUGCUAAAAGAUACAAAAUGCUACAAGAAGAUAGCUACCAGAUCCAUCAUCUUCUAGAGUCUGACUGACUUAGAAGAGUUUAUGAAAAUGGCGGAUGCUGGACUUCAAAGAGACGUGAAGAGGCGAGAUUAUUGUGGGCUGGUAGAAAUCAUGGGUUAUCUCUUGGCUGUGAAAUAGAGGCAGACAGCUACUGAUGAAUUUUUGAACCUCUGAAAGAGAUAGUUAUGCUGCUGAAAAGCUAUGGACACAAGAUACCAGACCAAGCUUAUGUCUAUUCAGAGGCAAAUCAAGAGGUUGAGAUGCUGGAGAAGAAAUGUUACUACGGGAAAAAGAAAUGUUACUGGUGCAGGAAUCCACAAGGCUCUCUGAAGAAAUUGUUCCAGACUACAAGCAAAUGGAACAAUGUCAAAAAGAAAGGGAGUUGCUCAAGAAAGUGUGGGAUAUCAGUGUUUACACUAAUGCAAGAUGUUUUUAAAGAAAUUAUAAAGUUAGAGUAUGUUUUGAAAGUUACACUCUUAAUUUGGUCUGUGAAGUGUUAC